Molecule: ribosomal RNA, 203 nt
Filed under: uncultured bacterium
Lineage: Bacteria
Description: partial 16S ribosomal RNA
Rfam family: Bacterial small subunit ribosomal RNA
Source: RNAcentral
GACAAACGCUAGCGGCGUGUAUUAGGCAUGCAAGUCGCACGGUCACCUCGCAAGAGGUGGCAGUGGCGGACGGGUGAGUAACACGUGGGUAACCUGCCUCGCAGUGGGGAAUAACUCGCCGAAAGGCGAGCUAAUACCGCAUACCACUUUCGGUGAGAAUCCGACGCAGUAAAAGUAAGCAAUGCGCUGUGAGAGGGGCCCGG